GCCGCCCUAGCUCAAUGGUAGAGCAGCUGUUUUGUAAACAGCAGGUUCACGGUUCGAAUCCGUGGGGCGGCU
This 72-nucleotide transfer RNA is filed under the name Candidatus Levybacteria bacterium RIFCSPHIGHO2_01_FULL_36_15. RNAcentral describes it as "tRNA-Thr". It matches the Rfam family "tRNA". Rfam says of the family: Transfer RNA (tRNA) molecules are approximately 80 nucleotides in length. Their secondary structure includes four short double-helical elements and three loops (D, anti-codon, and T loops). Lineage: Bacteria; Candidatus Levyibacteriota. The record is from RNAcentral. RNAcentral also lists the same sequence under 1 other name.